This 250-nucleotide ribosomal RNA is filed under the name uncultured bacterium. RNAcentral's name for it is "partial 16S ribosomal RNA". It matches the Rfam family "Bacterial small subunit ribosomal RNA", at positions 524 to 773 of the family's 1533-position model. The record is from RNAcentral.
UACGUACUGUGCGAAUGUUAUUCGGAAUCACUGGGCUUAAAGGGUGCGUAGGCGGCUUUUUAAGUCAGACGUGAAAUAUCACGGCUCAACCGUGGUGCUGCGUUUGAAACUGGAAAGCUUGAGAUGGCUAGGGGUGAGUGGAACUGCACGUGGAGCGGUGAAAUGUGUUGAGAUGUGCAGGAACGCCGGUGGCGAAAGCGACUCACUGGGGCCAGACUGACGCUGAGGCACGAAAGCUAGGGGAGCGAAC